UACGAAGGGUGCAAGCGUUAAUCGGAAUUACUGGGCGUAAAGCGUGCGUAGGUGGUUUGUUAAGUCUGCUGUGAAAGCCCUGGGCUCAACCUGGGAAUGGCGGUGGAUACUGACAAGCUAGAGUGCGGUAGAGGAGGGUGGAAUUCCCGGUGUAGCGGUGAAAUGCGUAGAUAUCUGGAGGAACACCGGUGGCGAAGGCGGCUUUCUGGACAGUAACUGACGCUGAUGCGCGAAAGCUAGGGGAGCAAACAGG
This 253-nucleotide ribosomal RNA is filed under the name uncultured bacterium. RNAcentral's name for it is "partial 16S ribosomal RNA". It matches the Rfam family "Bacterial small subunit ribosomal RNA", at positions 524 to 776 of the family's 1533-position model. The record is from RNAcentral.